AAACCAUGCUGUGGACACUUCUGCAAGAGAUCCUUGAAUCUCUCCCAUGUCUCAAACAAGAUUUAAGCUCCAUUUGAACAAACGGUGAUAUUUCAUUAUGAAGCUU
Dioscorea cayenensis subsp. rotundata (Guinea yam) is the source of this 106-nucleotide small nucleolar RNA. Lineage: Eukaryota; Viridiplantae; Streptophyta; Magnoliopsida; Dioscoreales; Dioscoreaceae. The record is from RefSeq and is a predicted model, not a curated record.